GCCGCAGAUCCAUGUCACGGUCAUCCUGCCAUCCGCUGUCCUUCGCUGAAAUUUGGGAGUGCAUGGGAUGAAAUCCUGGAGCAACAUUUAGUUCUUUCAUACAGGAAUGAAGUGGUUUUCCAUGGACGGAAUGAAUGGUUCAUCCCCUGUCCUCCAGGAGAGUGCACAGAAUGCAGCCCAGGGGCAUCAUUUAGCCCUUGUGGGAGCGGCUAAAUCUGGGAAUUAAGUGCUUUCCCGUGGAUGGAAUUGGUUCCUCCCCCAGCAGGAGACAGCCAGAGCUCUGCUCCAGAUGGGGAAUGCCAAGCACCUCACGAGCGGAAGAUGAAAUUAAAAGAUAAGAAGAAUGAUUUUAUGAAUCCACAACACAAUGCAAAG
This is a long non-coding RNA of Hirundo rustica (Barn swallow), 375 nucleotides long. RefSeq lists it as uncharacterized. The transcript is spliced from 3 exons. Lineage: Eukaryota; Metazoa; Chordata; Aves; Passeriformes; Hirundinidae. The record is from RefSeq and is a predicted model, not a curated record.